CAGCAGUAGGGAAUCUUCGGCAAUGGACGAAAGUCUGACCGAGCAACGCCGCGUGAGUGAAGAAGGUUUUCGGAUCGUAAAACUCUGUUGGUAGAGAAGAACGUUGGUGAGAGUGGAAAGCUCAUCAAGUGACGGUAACUACCCAGAAAGGGACGGCUAACUACGUGUCAG
RNAcentral lists this ribosomal RNA (171 nucleotides) under uncultured bacterium. RNAcentral's name for it is "partial 16S rRNA". It matches the Rfam family "Bacterial small subunit ribosomal RNA", at positions 349 to 511 of the family's 1533-position model. The record is from RNAcentral.